Molecule: ribosomal RNA, 254 nt
Filed under: uncultured organism
Description: partial 16S ribosomal RNA
Rfam family: Bacterial small subunit ribosomal RNA
Source: RNAcentral
UACAAGAGGGGCGAGCGUUAUCCGGAAUGAUUGGGCGUAAAGUGUUCGUAGGUUGUAUUUGUUACUAUAAGCAAAAGACUAAGCUUAUACUUAGUUAGACUUAUAGCAUACUUUUUACUUGAGUAUAGAAGAGGAUAACAGAAUUUUAUGCAUAGGAGUAAAAUCCUAAGAUUCAUAAAGGAAUGCCAGUGGCGAAAGCGGUUAUCUAGUCUAUUAACUGACGCUGAGGAACGAAAGCGUAGGGAGCAAACGGG